Molecule: microRNA precursor, 159 nt
Filed under: Pelobates cultripes (western spadefoot toad)
Lineage: Eukaryota; Metazoa; Chordata; Amphibia; Anura; Pelobatidae
Source: RNAcentral
GCUGACACAUCCCGGCCAAGCUCCAGCAGACCCUCCCUCCCAGACCCUCCUACUUCCUGGACAGCAUCCAUGUUGAAGGCAGCUUCAACAUGGAUGCUGUCCAGGAGGUGGGAGGGUCUGGGAGGGAGGGUCUGCUGGAGAUUGGCUGGGAUGUGUCAG